UACGUAGGCAGCAAGCGUUUGUUCGGAAUUAUUGGGCGUAAAGGGUGCGUAGGCGGUUUGGUAAGUCUUAUGUGAAAUCUACAGGCUCAACUUGUAGUCUGCAUGAGAAACUGCCGGGCUUGAGUGUGGGAGAGGUGAGUGGAAUUCCUGGUGUAGCGGUGAAAUGCGUAGAUAUCAGGAGGAACACCUGUGGCGAAAAGCGGCUCACUGGACCAUAACUGACGCUGAUGCACGAAAGCUAGGGGAGCAAACAGG
RNAcentral lists this ribosomal RNA (255 nucleotides) under uncultured bacterium. RNAcentral describes it as "partial 16S ribosomal RNA". It matches the Rfam family "Bacterial small subunit ribosomal RNA", at positions 524 to 776 of the family's 1533-position model. The record is from RNAcentral.